Panicum virgatum (switchgrass) is the source of this 1369-nucleotide long non-coding RNA. RefSeq lists it as uncharacterized. The transcript is spliced from 3 exons. The record is from RefSeq and is a predicted model, not a curated record. Lineage: Eukaryota; Viridiplantae; Streptophyta; Magnoliopsida; Poales; Poaceae.
UGCAUUUAAGUCCCUGCCGCCCGGCAGCGGGGCGGCCGGGUAUAUUUCUGUAAAUUUCCAAAUCGAAAAUAUAUUUUUGUAAAAAACGGAAUUUGUACAAACAGGUCGCCCCGCUCAGAUGGAAGGAGUAACUAGUAAUUUGUAAUUUUAGAAUGGAAGGAGUAACUAGUAAUUUGUACUAAAAAAACUAACUAGUAAUCUGCAUCCUCUCAAAAAAAACUAGUAACGGCGUGAAACUUUUACUAUAGCUCAAUAAUUUAAUGAUUAGACCACCCAAAAAAUUUUACCUAGGACCACAAAAAACAUAGAUAUGAAUUAAUCUAUACUAUAAAAGUUGAAACAAUUGAAAUCUUUUCUCAUCAAGAGAAGGCCCACCAUAUCCCUCACAAGGGUCCCACUUGUCAGGCCAAAAGGUUUGACGAAAGAGGAUGGAGACCCAUUUUUUGAUAGAAGAAAAAUGUUUCUAUCAAAAUCUUAAUACUUUUUACACCAAGCACUUUUAUCUACCCAUCCUUGUACCCACUUUUUACUUUCCAUUAUUUGCACUUUUAUCUACACAUUAUUUUUAGUAAAAUUUAUUAUCAUGCAAUUAUCUUUCCUUUUGUAAACUGAUUAACUUUCUUUGCCUUUGGUCCGUUUUUGCCGCGAGCCUUGCGUCUGAUUAACUUUCCUUGCCGAUGCACGACGACGAACGGCGACGCCAGGUAUCCACUAUUGCCGAUGCAUGCCGCCGCCGAUCAGGCGAUCUGCUUGCCUGGAGGCCACGUUAAGUAGAAGCGGCGAGGCUUUACAUGUUGGUUUCUUCGUUUCACGGUCAAAGUUCUUGGCCUCGGCUGAUCGCAGAAGAUCUUAUUUAUCUGUAUCAAAAUAAUAGAUUGGCAAUCCUUUUGAAGACCAGGUAGCAGCGGUGAUCCACAGCUCUGCGAAGAAGCAGGAACAACAAUACCUCUCGUGCUCAUGAUAUUUAAGUUGAGAUGCAGUGAGUCACCAGCCAUAGUUAUGCAGCAAACAUUUAUGGAUUAGGCUAGUACUUUUCUUUAGAGCAAGUAUUAUGGUGGACUAAAAGCAGGCUGAAUGAUGAGGUGGAGGAGAGAGAAGAGGAGAGAAAGAGAGAGAGGGUUGUAAGGUUACAGACAGCUUUGACACAAGAACCAAAAAAGUUUGUGAGAUAGACUAGUGGGUCAUAUAUUAAUGGUGGAGAGCUAAAUCACUAUACAAGUGGGCUGAGAGAUGAGCUGCAAAGAGUCUUACAACUAGCAAUGGGCUAAAUUAUUAGCCUUGCUCUUAGUUGUCUCAUGUAACAAAAUUCUCCAAUAGAUCAGCUGCACAAUAAGCCUUUUUAUUACAAGAGAUUUAUCUAUUUAAACUA